Long non-coding RNA from Acanthaster planci (crown-of-thorns starfish), 252 nucleotides. RefSeq lists it as uncharacterized. The record is from RefSeq and is a predicted model, not a curated record. NCBI's taxonomy places the organism in Eukaryota, Metazoa, Echinodermata, Asteroidea, Valvatida, Acanthasteridae.
UUCUUGCCUUUCCUAAGCAAACCAUAGUAUAUAUAUUUUUUUGCAGCGGUGAGCCCUGGCUGGUGGCCGAAAACCGACGGCAUUUUGGUCAUGCGGGAACUGUCGAGUCGCGGUAUGACGGCUUACUUUAUGCGACCUGAAGAAGUCUAUACAUGAUCAGAUCCCGUGCAAUGAUGGCUCCCUACUUUUAAGCAUAAAAAAAAUCGGCGUAUGGUCCAGUCCUUGCAAUUGUGGUGACAUCUGAAAGGGCAC